This 478-nucleotide ribosomal RNA is filed under the name uncultured Planctomycetales bacterium. Its description in RNAcentral is "bacterial SSU rRNA". It matches the Rfam family "Bacterial small subunit ribosomal RNA", at positions 364 to 832 of the family's 1533-position model. Lineage: Bacteria; Pseudomonadati; Planctomycetota; Planctomycetia; Planctomycetales. The record is from RNAcentral.
UUUCGCAAUGCCCGAAAGGGUGACGAAGCGACGCCGCGUGUGGGAAGAAGGCCUUCGGGUUGUAAACCACUGUCGGGAGUUAAGAAAUGUAGGGAUGUUAAUAGCAUUCUUGCUUGACUAAGGCUCCGGAGGAAGCCACGGCUAACUCUGUGCCAGCAGCCGCGGUAAUACAGAGGCGGCAAGCGUUGUUCGGAAUUAUUGGGCGUAAAGAGCACGUAGGCGGCUAUGUAAGUCGGUUGUGAAAGCCUUCCGCUCAACGGAAGAACAGCAUCCGAUACUACAUGGCUUGAGUGCGGGAGGGGAGAGUGGAACUUCUGGUGGAGCGGUGAAAUGCGUAGAUAUCAGAAGGAACGCCGGCGGCGAAAGCGGCUCUCUGGCCCAUAACUGACGCUGAGUGUGCGAAAGCUAGGGGAGCAAACGGGAUUAGAUACCCCGGUAGUCCUAGCCGUAAACGAUGGGCACUAAGUAGAGGGGUUUU